GGGGUCGUAGCUCAGUCCGGUAGAGCACCUCCCUUGCAAGGAGGGGGCCUCGGGUUCAAAAUUGGAAAAGAGCCCA
RNAcentral lists this transfer RNA (76 nucleotides) under Candidatus Woesearchaeota archaeon CG11_big_fil_rev_8_21_14_0_20_43_8. RNAcentral's name for it is "tRNA-Ala". It matches the Rfam family "tRNA", at positions 1 to 62 of the family's 71-position model. Rfam says of the family: Transfer RNA (tRNA) molecules are approximately 80 nucleotides in length. The record is from RNAcentral. Lineage: Archaea; Nanobdellati; Candidatus Woesearchaeota.